Molecule: long non-coding RNA, 708 nt
Filed under: Phoenix dactylifera (date palm)
Lineage: Eukaryota; Viridiplantae; Streptophyta; Magnoliopsida; Arecales; Arecaceae
Description: long non-coding RNA (PDAC_LNC008395)
Source: RNAcentral
CUGCUUUGAAGUUUAAGAGUGAGAACUCUUUACAAGAAGAAAGAGCAAGGGGAGGGACCAGAGAAUGGAAACCAGAGCUUUUACCUUAAUUUUUUUUUAAAAAUUAUCCUAACUAAGAAUUCUACUAUGUUCAAUUGCUCAUGAAGAUAUUGCAUGGCUUUUCAAAAAGAGAUAGGAUCAUGGAGUGUUCGAUGAAGAUGGAAUUUUCUUUUCUGUUGAGUUAAAAAAGUGGAAGUAGGGCUUUUCUUUUUUUUUCUGAUAUAUAUUGAGAACACCCUCAAUUAAUUAAUUUCAAGAAGAUCGCUUAAUUAUUAAUUGACAACUCAUCAAGCCACAUUAGCUGUCCCAUAUUUCUGUUAUUUAAAGAUAUAAAUAAUAGUUUCUAAUAUUUAUUAAUUUAUUAUUUUAAUAAAAUAUAUGUGCAUGAAAUGGGUUGUAUUUAUAUAUUGAAUAUAUAAAGUUAGCUCCAAAAGACCCCAUAAUUCACUAGGUGGACAACUAAUCAUCUCAUGUGUAAAACAAUAAUAAUAAUAAUAAUCUAUACAAUACAUUAAAGGAAAGCCGAUGGUGUCCCAAAACGAUAAAUGCCAGAAUGGGGUUUGCUUAGGUGUCGGCAUCAAAGGAUUCUGUGUGUGGUCAUCCAUCUAUUUGAUUCGGAGUUUAGAAAGAGUCCGAUGCUGUGAUGUUCCACUGUAGGAGAGAGUCCUC